GCUCCUUUUACAAAAGGGGACGCUUUAGAACGCUUGUCUACAAAAAGAAGUGAGCUGAAACAUUGUGCUAAUAGGAUUUGCAGCAUAAAAUAUGGCUAAUUUCUCUUGUAUGACUACAGGUGGCAGUGUAGAAGCCAAGAACAAAAAUUGGCAGAAAUUGUGUUCUGUGUACGAGAAUAUGAAGAGUGUACUCAUGACUAAGCACAGGAACCUGGAAAACCACAGGCUUUAGUCAGGUGAUCCCUGAUGAGUAGCCAGCCCACCAAGAAGGGAUUGCAGCACACAGUUGGGUUUCUACGUUAAAGCGCCCAGAGAACACAACAGAGGGAAUCCAGAUGAACUUCAGUCUUGUCUGAAUGGCCAAGCUGCCGAAAUUAGACCAUCACUGCCAGAAAUUCAGUGAUGCACCGUUCUUCAUUCUCACUCUGCAGUAGGACAAAAGUCUCAGCCUCUGACCCUCAAAAUAACCACCCAAAAAUGCCACCACCAAAAACUAUACUGACCUUUCCAAAAACAGUAUUUCUCAGCAAUGAGGACAAUAAUGAAAGCACUUCUUACCCCAUUAGAGACCAGCUGCUAUAAUUUUUCAAUGUUCUGUUUUUUCACCAUGAAAGGUGACUGUAGAUGAUCCAGCUCAGUAUUAGGUUGGAAUGAGAUGCACAAUGUGCUUCAGGAGAUGUGGCAUGGGACAGGGAGCCAAGAGCUCCUUAGGUGCAGCUCACUUCCUGAUGGAAACUUCUGUUGGUCAAGACAUUUAAAUAUUCCCAGCCUCUUAUUUUCUAAAGGAGACUAAAGACUACCACUUCACAGGGAUAUUAUGAGGAUUUACCUUAAAAUGUACUUCGGAAGUAUUUAUAAUAGUUAAUCAGCUUUUCCAUUAUGGAGUACUUAUGUUAUUUGGCUGGCUUCAGCCACACGAAUUCACACAAAUGCUAUACAUAGAAUACUUUGGUGGAAUAUUCUGUGUUUGGCUCAUCUGAGUCACGGUUUCCAUUCAAAAAGAACUGAUUGUUUCAAUCUAAAUUAUUUUCAUGAAGAACCUCGUAAUAAAUGCUUUGGGAAGAACUCAGAGAUGGAACAUGAUAAAAUUGUUAGCAUAAAAUAUCUCAUCAGAGUCAAAGGCAGAUACGAGUGCUGCCUACCAGGGAGCUGCAGAAUGGAAGAAUGGGGGCAUUUGUGGUAUAGCACAGGAAAAGGAAAAGCACUGUGCUAGCAAAGAGAGGACAAUGCAGAUCACUUCGUGUUGUGCCAGCAGCUGGCCCUGAAUAAGUUGAAGAUGGAAAUUUAGAAAAAAAAAAAAAUAAGAAGAUCAUCAGAAGUGACUUCUGGAACAACCUUUCAGUUGUAGGAGCUGCGAGGAAGCUGGAGCUUUUUUCAAGAUGGGGGUACAGUCACAUUAAUAAAGUCCACAGGGAGGUGUUGGCUGAUUUGCUCUCCAGUUCCUGAUUCCUGCAGCUCCACCUGUUAUCUUAGAUCUCAUGUUCAAUUCUGCAAUCUAUCAUUAAAGUUCCAAUGAAGUUGGACAGUGCAUCUACCAUUUUUUAUGUUAAUAGAAAACCCAUGGCUAUUUUAAGAGAGAUUUAUUCACUGUCUGCUAAGAAGAUGGAACAUGUUAUUCUCCAUAAACUAAUCUAUCCAUUAUUUAAAAUCACUUACUGGCGUAAUGUUCAUAGAUGAGAUUUAUAAAGUAUUCUGAUCUCUUUAUUCUAAUCAAAUAACUUUAAAUCCAAGAUAAAAAGUACCCCCAAAAGCUUCAAACGUGAUAAUUUUUUUUAAAGAAAAUUA
Molecule: long non-coding RNA, 1785 nt
Organism: Cyanistes caeruleus (blue tit)
Lineage: Eukaryota; Metazoa; Chordata; Aves; Passeriformes; Paridae
Source: RefSeq, a predicted model, not a curated record